AAAUACACUCGAAUCGUCAUUCCUGCUCUUUCCUGCUCCUUACACCCUCCCGCUCCUGUCAAGGAUAAUAGCUGGCGCUGUUUAGUAUACAUGCACGUAGGCAUGUAUAGUCUACAGUCUACACACUAGACUGCCUGCAAACAGACGGUGCAAGCGUGGCGCCAGAGGAUGUGGGUUGGUUAUGGCUACCCACAAUUCUACGUGCAAUCUGUUAGCUGACUGAUGAAGCUUUGCAGUAAAAUGACAUCUUUGCGGUUUGCAUGGGUGUUUAUUUUUCUGUUUUAAACAAGCGCCUACUACAUGAAGAUGUCUCAUUUUUUCCUUUUCUCUAGGCGGUGAUCAGAAAGCUAUAUAAUUGAUUCCCAGAGUCCUCUACUGUUUAGGCACACAACCAAUUAGAGAUUUAUUAAAAGAAAAUCAUUCAUUAAUUAUUCCUUCAGUGUCGGAGAUCAAUGUUCCUUACUCAAUCAGAAGAGAGAGAGAGAGAGAGAGAUUACUAUAAAAAGAAUGAUUGCCCCCUGAGAGGUCAUACAGUGACGUAUUGUAAAGGUGUUGCCGCCAAACUGUGUCCGACGUGAUGACCGCGCGGUGAGUAUUUAAAGUUAAUUGUAUCACGAGUUGGAACUAUGAUUGUCAACGUUAUUGCGUAUUAGCUAUACAAAUAAUUUUCAUGCUGGUAUAAGGUGUGAAGGAGGUGCAACAAGCGUCUGGUAUAGGUAGAUAAACUAUACCUUCGACAUAUGCUUCUGCAUCAUUAGUCGUGUCGUAUUGUCGGAUUAAAGAAAUUGAAUAAAAACGUAUUUUUCUGUUUAAAUCGUAAAUACCGUAUUAGAGAAACACACAAGAGCACAGAGCUGCUUCUUGGCUACUGGUACAGUUCAUUUUAUUCAGUUGCAAGUGGUUCAUCUUCACCUCCUGCAAGAAGUUGAACAACAAACAGUAGCCAAAAGAUCAUCUCCCUGCACCACACAUCGUUGAAUGAAAUUAUAUUGAGAAGGGUGAGUCAUAGCCAAGGACAAAAAUACCGUGGUAAAGCACUGAAAACUGUAAGUUCAGUGAGCGAGACAAGCCAUGCUGGUAGGUAUACGUGGAAGCAAUGGCAACGCCUGCGCAGACACCCAGUAACCAAUGGUCACUCUGGCAGGUGGUAGUUGCACCCCCUGGCAAGCAGUGACGAACCACUCGGAAGGAAGCUUUUCGGUGAAGUUGUCCUAUAGUGAGUGCCAACUGCUGUUGCUACAAAAAAAUAAGACAGCAAACACCCUCCGAUCUCUGGAUGGCAAGGCAAAGCAAGAUAAAAUUCUAGGAUGAGCCACAGAUACAUGGCAAUGGUAAGGGCAAUAUAGAAGAAGCCUUCAUGCCGUAUGGAGAGCAGUAAGAAGGGACAGAAGAGCGAGGUACUAACAGACAGGAGCCGUCCCAUCAUGUUAUGUGAGCCAA
Portunus trituberculatus (swimming crab) is the source of this 1440-nucleotide long non-coding RNA. RefSeq lists it as uncharacterized. Lineage: Eukaryota; Metazoa; Arthropoda; Malacostraca; Decapoda; Portunidae. The transcript is spliced from 2 exons. The record is from RefSeq and is a predicted model, not a curated record.